UUGGGGUUCGAUUAAGCCAUGCGAGUCGAGAGGUGCAAGACCUCGGCAUACUGCUCAGUAACACGUGGACAAUCUACCCUACGGUGAGGGAUAAUCCCGGGAAACUGGGGCUAAUACCUCAUAGACUAUGAAUGCUGGAAUGCUUCGUAGUUCAAAGGUCAGCCGCCAUAGGAUGGGUCUGCGGCCGAUUAGGUAGUUGUUGGGGUAACGGCCCAACAAGCCUGUAAUCGGUACGGGUUGUGGGAGCAAGAGCCCGGAGAUGGAUUCUGAGACACGAAUCCAGGCCCUACGGGGCGCAGCAGGCGCGAAAACUUUACAAUGCGGGAAACCGUGAUAAGGGAACUUCGAGUGCCCGUUAAAUCGGGCUGUCCACCAGUUUAAAAAACUGGUGAAGAAAGGGCCGGGCAAGACCGGUGCCAGCCGCCGCGGUAAUACCGGCGGCUCGAGUGGUGGCCACUAUUACUGGGCUUAAAGCGUUCGUAGCUGGUUUGUUAAGUCUCUGGGGAAAUCUUCCGGCUUAACCGGAAGGCGUCUCAGGGAUACUGGCAGACUAGGGACCGGAAGAGGUGAGGGGUACUCCAGGGGUAGGAGUGAAAUCCUGUAAUCCUUGGGGGACCACCUGUGGCGAAGGCGCCUCACCAGGACGGCUCCGACAGUGAGGGACGAAAGCUGGGGGAGCAAACCGGAUUAGAUACCCGGGUAGUCCCAGCCGUAAACGAUGUGCGUUAGGUGUAUCGGUGACCACGAGUCACCGAGGUGCCGAAGAGAAAUCGUGAAACGUACCGCCUGGGAAGUACGGUCGCAAGGCUGAAAC
Molecule: ribosomal RNA, 814 nt
Filed under: methanogenic endosymbiont of Caenomorpha-like sp. 8
Lineage: Archaea; Methanobacteriati; Methanobacteriota; Methanomicrobia; Methanomicrobiales; Methanomicrobiaceae
Description: bacterial SSU rRNA
Rfam family: Archaeal small subunit ribosomal RNA
Source: RNAcentral